Molecule: transfer RNA, 71 nt
Filed under: Marmota monax (woodchuck)
Lineage: Eukaryota; Metazoa; Chordata; Mammalia; Rodentia; Sciuridae
Description: tRNA.Ala
Source: RNAcentral
GGGGUUGAGGCUCAGCGGUAGAGUGCUUGCCUAGCACAUGCAAGGCCCUGGGUUCAAUCCUCAGCACCACA